RNAcentral lists this transfer RNA (77 nucleotides) under Klebsiella pneumoniae subsp. pneumoniae. RNAcentral describes it as "tRNA-Val". It matches the Rfam family "tRNA". From Rfam's summary of the family: Transfer RNA (tRNA) molecules are approximately 80 nucleotides in length. The record is from RNAcentral. Lineage: Bacteria; Pseudomonadati; Pseudomonadota; Gammaproteobacteria; Enterobacterales; Enterobacteriaceae.
GCGUCUGUAGCUCAGUUGGUUAGAGCACCACCUUGACUUGGUGGGGGUCGAUGGUUCGAGUCCAUUCAGACGCACCA